CAACGGACAAAUAGAGUCUUGAAACGCUACAUGUAUACAUGCUACAUAUGUAAAGUUAUUCACUGUCAAAGUGGCGAAAAAAUGAAUGGCAGUGAAUGGAAUGCCUACUGCAUGUGAUGGCUUCGUAGCAUUAAAAUGGCGCCAUGGGAGCUACACUUAGAGAGGAAAGGCUUACCCCCUUGAUAAAGACUGGGCGGCCUCUAGUCUAGUUCCAGCGCAUAACUUCCUGUAAAAGUACAGUGUCACUUUUACGUUUCUCAGUAAACAAAUGAGAUACUAUGUGUACAAUGGUGACCCUUUGAGGUGCUUUUUUACCUUUGGACUGAGCCAGACUAGUAGUUUCACAGUGACACCGCCUUUCUUAUAAACUGAGCUAACUGCUGGCUUUAUUAGCAUAUAAACAUGAGAGUGGUAUCAUUCUUCUAAUCUCAUUUUUGACAAGAAAGGGAAUAAGCAUGUGUCCCAAAACAUUUCUUCUUUUAAAUGAGGAUGUGCCUUCUUUGAAUCCACUUUAUUGUGUGAACUAGAAGCUACCAUCUUACUAACGCAAAUACAUGCGAGCUGUGGACAUUUUGUGUUGCUUCACAUCACUGUUCAUGUGUUGUAGCCUCAGUAGCUGUAAGUUGUGGUUGCUGAAGUCUUUUCCUUGAUCUUCCUGCUAGUUUUGACGCAGCAGUCCUGUUUGUGUUGGCUGGUUGUAGCUUCCGAGUUUCAGGAAGUGUUAACUUUGCUCCCAGAUAUGAACAAGAUGUUCAUGUGACUACUCAACUUGUAUAAUAAGAGGUUUAUUGAAUAUUAUAGGAAAAAAGUGUUAUUUAUGACAAAAAGAUGGUUUACUUUUAUUAUUAAUCUCAACAUAUUCAUGAUGCACUUUUUUUGAUUAACACUAUUUCCCCUCUAUGAGUAUUAAAGUAGAUGGAGCUGAGAGGCAGGGAUAUAAUGGGGAGGGAAAGUGACAACUAGCACUACUGCUGACAGUGUAAGACUCCUCUGAAAACAUACAUCACCUUAUUUUCCUACUUCAAAAGUGAUUUAUAGUCUAAAAUUAUAAAUGGUACAGGAUAUAAACCAUAAUAAUGUAUUGCAAUGAAAUACUGCCAUUUUCAUUGUUUUUGCUAACACCUAAUCUAGUGUAAUGAAACAAGCCCCUGCUGUAAAGUUAAAAAGGUUUUUGCACUGCUUUCAACACAAGUGACUUUCCCUCCCUGUGGCUCUUCUCAACAGCAUCUAGUUACUUUAUCUUGUUUAGAAAAAGGGAUAUGAUUAUGAUCAUGUUUAUGCGAUUUUUAUCAUGAUGAAAUUAUGAUAAACUGAUAGCUGUUAAAAAAGAAAAAAAACUUUGCUCUGUUGUCGACUAUUCAGAGAAGGAGGGGGUUAACACUUUUACUUGCUGUCUGUCGCAAUGUCAUGGCAUGAUUGUGUUUUUCUCUGUGAUUUGUUAACACACACAAACAUGCAAAUAUACACACAAACCAACACACGUCAUGUUUUGUUUAAGUUGGCCAUGUCAAGAUAAAUGCAUGAAACAUUGUAGGAUCCCACACCAGUUUACUGGGUAUUUUCAGUCGCUUUUUUUUACAUUUGAUCUUGUUUUUCAUCAGAUUCUGACUCACCUUCGCUUACAACAGACCUGACCUCUGUUUGGCGCCCAUCACUAUUCACAUAGCAGCUGUAGCCGGAUCCAUUAUUUGCUUUUUAUUUGGAUUUUGGAUUUGAAGGCUUUGUCUGAGUGACAGUGACAGUUUUCUCUCUGGUUUGAUAUUCAGGUAGCUGCUCUGAUUCAGACAAUCAAAUGUGUAUCAUAGUUUAUGCAGAUUUAAGAGAGUGUGUAGCAGGAAGCAGGAGACAUUGUGAUAAAAAGCUGAUGUUUGACAUACCGUCUUGUUAGAUUGGUCACCUCACGGCCAUUUUCAAUCUUUUAACACAUCACCAGGUAUGUACUUAUAAUGUUGAAUGUCAUGUAACAUUUGUAUUGACAAGUUAUUAUUUGAUUGACAUACAAAUACAGGCAAACUGAUUUUAAUCAUUUCCUAGUAACUUUGUUACUUUAUCACAAAUUAAAGCAAAGUGUCAGUGAUGUUAAAUGUCAGCUAUGGAAAGGUAGUGAAAAUCUGACAUGUAAUGACCUCCCAGUGCACAUUUCAAUCUGCAGUGUUUACUUACAGUGCAACUGUGUGGCGAUGCGUGAAUCGUGAUUGUGUGAUGGAGGUAUUGAUUGCAUGAGCACUACAGGCAACAGAGAUAAUUCACUGGUCAAAGGCAACCCAGGAGGAGCUCCAAUACAAGGGUGGAGGUUUUUUUUUUUAUGUCAGGGAUAUUAGGGAAUGUUUCCUGACUUCCAGAUCUCCACCCAUCUUGUUGAAUAAUGUCGGUCACAGGCUCGAAACAGCCAUGUGUUGAUUUGUGAUCCAGACUGACAAGCUCAACUCAUCUGUGCAAGCGUGCUUGGCUAGGUCACUGCAUGAUUACGUGACCUUGCUACAGGUUCAUAAUUCUUUCCUUAUCUUCAUGAUGUGGUUUCUUAUCUUGAGUCAAGCAUAUCUUCUUUUUUUGCAAAAAA
This is a long non-coding RNA of Etheostoma spectabile (orangethroat darter), 2560 nucleotides long. RefSeq lists it as uncharacterized. The record is from RefSeq and is a predicted model, not a curated record. The transcript has 2 exons. Lineage: Eukaryota; Metazoa; Chordata; Actinopteri; Perciformes; Percidae.